This 513-nucleotide ribosomal RNA is filed under the name uncultured soil bacterium. RNAcentral's name for it is "bacterial SSU rRNA". It matches the Rfam family "Bacterial small subunit ribosomal RNA", at positions 8 to 526 of the family's 1533-position model. The record is from RNAcentral.
AGAGUUUGAUCCUGGCUCAGGACGAACGCUGGCGGCGUGCUUAACACAUGCAAGUCGAACGGAGGUUAUAUGGAAGCUUGCGAAAUAUAACCUUAGUGGCGGACGGGUGAGUAACGCGUGGAUAACCUGCCCAAUAGACUGGGAUAACGCCGGGAAACUGGUGCUAAUACCGGAUACGCUCCUUAUAUCGCAUGGUGUGAGGAGGAAAGGGGAAACCCGCUAAUGGAUGGAUCCGCGUCCCAUUAGCUAGAUGGCGGGGUAACGGCCCACCAUGGCGACGAUGGGUAGCCGGCCUGAGAGGGUGACCGGCCACACUGGGACUGAGACACGGCCCAGACUCCUACGGGAGGCAGCAGUGGGGAAUCUUCCGCAAUGGGCGAAAGCCUGACGGAGCAACGCCGCGUGAGUGAAGAAGGCUUUUGGGUUGUAAAACUCUGUCUUCAGGGAAGAAAACAAUGACGGUACCUGAGGAGGAAGCCCCGGCUAACUACGUGCCAGCCGCCGCGGUAAUUC